AACGCGAAGAACCUUACCUGGGCUUGACAUGCAGUUGACGGUAACAGAGAUGUUACCUUCCCGCAAGGGACGACUGCACAGGUGCUGCAUGGCUGUCGUCAGCUCGUGCCGUGAGGUGUUGGGUUAAGUCCCGCAACGAGCGCAACCCUUGUCGUCAGUUGCCAACACGUAAUGGUGGGAACUCUGACGAGACUGCCUAGGUUAACUAGGAGGAAGGUGAGGAUGACGUCAAGUCCGCAUGGCCUUUAUGCCCAGGGCUACACACGUGCUACAAUGGCCGGUACAGAAGGCUGCAAUACCGCGAGGUGGAGCAAAUCCCCAAAGCCGGCCCCAGUUCAGAUUGUAGUCUGCAACUCGACUACAUGAAGUUGGAAUUGCUAGUAAUGGCGAGUCAGCAACAUCGCCGUGAAUACGUUCCCGGGCCUUGUACACACCGAUACUC
Molecule: ribosomal RNA, 442 nt
Filed under: uncultured bacterium
Lineage: Bacteria
Description: bacterial SSU rRNA
Rfam family: Bacterial small subunit ribosomal RNA
Source: RNAcentral